UUUAACAAUCCAAUAUGUUGAUGCUUUACAAUCCUCGGUGGAUGCCACAUGCUCCAAAUUUGUUUGAGUGGAUACUCGCUGUAGCAUAUUUCGAGUUUUCACAGUCUAACAUGAUCUUUUUAGGUAUCAUCGAUUACCAAUUCGUUAGUUGCUUACUAUAGAGUUGGGAAUUUUCGUAUUUGGUUCACUUGGUAUAUGGGUCAUCCAAAGUUGGCUUGUUUUAAGUGAUCUAAACCUUUUUGUAUAAUUGGAUUGUUUUAGUGAUCCAAACCCUUUGUAUUGUUAUAGCCAUUUUCUGUGAUCCUAAUCAAUUUCAUAUGUUGAGGCCCAUGUCCAACAUUCUUAGCAAGUGUUUCACAACUCUUGCUGGAUGCCACAUGCAAAAAGAAAAAAAAAAAUCGUUAGGAGAGCAUAAGCAUGGCCAUAGAGUACUUUGAAUGGGCUAGGCAAGUGAUUUUCAAUGACUAAAACCAGUCAUAUAGUUGGGCCCUUAUUCAGUGUUCCAAACCAAUCAUAUAAUUGGACCUAUGUUUAGUCAUCCAAACUCUUCUUAUAGUUUAGGACAUUUCGUAGGGCAUUCAUUGUUCAUUGUGAUGGAUGUUUUUAAAUGGAGGCUGAUUUCAAUGAAUGAGAUGUAUGAGGAGAUACAUGAAUAUAUCCAUGAGGUAUACCAAAAAUUCUAAUAGGUGAUACAGUAUGUACAAUGAUGGUGCCUUUUAAUUGUUCAUUGUGAUGAAUGUUCUAAAUGGAGUCUAAUUUCAAUGAACGAUAUGUAUAAAGGGAUAUAUGAAUAUAUCCAUGAGGUCUACUCAAAAUUCCAAUAGGUGAUAUAGUAUGUACAAUGAUAGUGCCUUUUAAUUGUUCAUGGGGAAAAACCCUUAAACUUCAACUCCUAACUUCAAGACACUAUUUAUUAUCAAAGAAAUAUCUUUGAUAACCUUUAUGCUGGAUGACCCAAGAUGGUGAUUAUGAGCCUCUACCAUGGAAUAGGAAUUCUUCAAAAUUUAUGUGAGAUAUUAAAUGAGGUGGUGGGGAUUUACCAAUGAAGGGUUGUAAAAUCAAAGAAACUAUGGGAGAAAUUCUCAUUUACCACAUCUAUUAUUUUUCAUAUGAUCAUACAUAGCUCCAUGAAGGGUGACGACGUUCACUUGACUUGUGGAAAGAAAGAGGGUGUUGACAACCAAUAAUUUUCAAUUGUUUUCUUCAUUUUUCCAGGUUGGGCUACAGUUGAUGCUUUCUUUGUAUAAUAACAAACCAAAUGGGAUACUGGCAGAUGAGAUGAGUUUUGGCAAGAUUGCACAGUUCAUAGUCCUGCUCAGAGAAGGAAGUUGUUGCUGCACAGAUUCCAAGAGAAGCAUGCACCACUAAAGUUCAAGUGAUUUAGCCUGGUGCUAUUAUGCUACCUUGCUUCUGCUUUUGUGAGUUCUAAGCUGUUAAACAACAAUGCGUGAGUCCUGCUCAAAGAAGGACGUUGCUGCUACACAGAUUCCAAGAGAAGUAUGCAUUACUAAGUUCAGGAAUUUGAAAAUAUAACUUUUGGAGAGAAUGGAAUGCAAAAUUAGAAGAGCAGAAGCUUGAAAAAGUGGUCCACACAUAGCAUUUGCGGACCACCUGAUGCCUAGACUGCCCUAAUUUUUAGCCAUGAGACACCACCUGAACUUCCUGGAUCUUUCUUACAUUGCACUCCACAUUGGCAAGCAUGGGAGAAUGAUUUGAAAUCCUACUCAUGUAA
Magnolia sinica is the source of this 1732-nucleotide RNA transcript. It is a transcript of the gene named chromatin structure-remodeling complex subunit snf21-like, with no coding region annotated. NCBI's taxonomy places the organism in Eukaryota, Viridiplantae, Streptophyta, Magnoliopsida, Magnoliales, Magnoliaceae. The record is from RefSeq and is a predicted model, not a curated record. The transcript is spliced from 5 exons.